UCAGCAUCGGCUAACUUCGUGCCAGCAGCCGCGGUAAUACGAGGGAUGCAAGCGUUAUCCGGAAUUAUUGGGCGUAAAGCGUCCGCAGGUGGUUUUACAAGUCUGCUGUCAAAGCGUGGAGCUUAACUCCUGAACGGCGGUGGAAACUGUAAGACUAGAGGUCAGUAGGGGUCACGGAAAUUCCCAGUGGAGCGGUGAAAUGCGUUGAUAUUGGGAAGAACACCACUGGCGAAGGCGCGUGACUGGGCUGAUUCUGACACUCAUGGACGAAAGCUAGGGGAGCGAAAGGGAUUAAAUACCCCUGAAGUCCUAGCUGUAAACGAUGGAUACUAGGUGUUUCGCGUAUCGAUCCGUGCAGUACAGUAGCCAACGCGAUAAGUUUCCCGCCUGGGGAGUAAGCACGCAAGUGUGAAACUCAAAGGAAUAGACGGGUUCCCGCACAAGCGGUGGAGUAUGUGGUUUAAUUCGAUGCAACGCGAAGAACCUUACCAGGGUUUGACAUGUCGCGAAUCCUCUUGAAAGGGAGGAGUGCCUUCGGGAGCGCGAACACAGGUGGGGCAUGGCUGUCGUCAGCUCGUGUCGUGACAUGUUGGGUCAAGUCCCGCAACGAGCGCAACCCACGUCCUUAGUUGCCAUCAUUAAGUUGGGCACUCUAGAUAGACUGCCGGUGACAAACCGGAGGAAGGUGUGGAUGACGUCAAGUCAUCAUGCCCCUUACGCCUUGGGCUACACACGUACUACAAUGAUUGGGACAAAGAGCGGCGAGCAUGCGAAUGCAAGCAAAUCUCGUAAACCCAGUCUUAGU
This 805-nucleotide ribosomal RNA is filed under the name Leptolyngbya boryana EGY3. Its description in RNAcentral is "bacterial SSU rRNA". It matches the Rfam family "Bacterial small subunit ribosomal RNA", at positions 487 to 1292 of the family's 1533-position model. Lineage: Bacteria; Bacillati; Cyanobacteriota; Cyanophyceae; Leptolyngbyales; Leptolyngbyaceae. The record is from RNAcentral.